Molecule: ribosomal RNA, 470 nt
Filed under: uncultured bacterium
Lineage: Bacteria
Description: bacterial SSU rRNA
Rfam family: Bacterial small subunit ribosomal RNA
Source: RNAcentral
UCCAGACUCCUACGGGAGGCAGCAGUGGGGAAUAUUGCACAAUGGGCGCAAGCCUGAUGCAGCCAUGCCGCGUGUAUGAAGAAGGCCUUCGGGUUGUAAAGUACUUUCAGCGGGGAGGAAGGUGUUGUGGUUAAUAACCACAGCAAUUGACGUUACCCGCAGAAGAAGCACCGGCUAACUCCGUGCCAGCAGCCGCGGUAAUACGGAGGGUGCAAGCGUUAAUCGGAAUUACUGGGCGUAAAGCGCACGCAGGCGGUCUGUCAAGUCGGAUGUGAAAUCCCCGGGCUCAACCUGGGAGCUACAUUCGAAACUGGCAGGCUGGAGUCUUGGAGAGGGGGGUAGAAUUCCAGGUGUAGCGGUGAAAUGCGUAGAUAUGUGGAAGAACACCGAUGGCGAAGGCAGCCUCCUGGGACGCAACUGACGCUCAUACACGAAAGCGUGGGGAGCAAACAGGAUUAGAUACCCGAGUA